GUGCUUGCUUCAGCAACACAUAUACUAAAACUGGAACGAUACAGAGAUUAGCAUGGCCCCUGCACAAGGAUGACAUGUAAAUUCAUGAAGUGUUCCAUAUUUUU
Small nuclear RNA from Trichosurus vulpecula (common brushtail), 104 nucleotides. The record is from RefSeq and is a predicted model, not a curated record. NCBI's taxonomy places the organism in Eukaryota, Metazoa, Chordata, Mammalia, Diprotodontia, Phalangeridae.